This 390-nucleotide ribosomal RNA is filed under the name Pinna nobilis. Its description in RNAcentral is "partial 16S ribosomal RNA". It matches the Rfam family "Bacterial large subunit ribosomal RNA", at positions 1963 to 2579 of the family's 2925-position model. Lineage: Eukaryota; Metazoa; Mollusca; Bivalvia; Pterioida; Pinnidae. The record is from RNAcentral.
UGGUCCUAGCCUUUUAAUUGGAGGCCUGCAUGAAUGGCUUGACGAGCGCCCUGCUGUCUCUCUUCCCAUGAACUUUUAAAUUAACUUUCGCGUGCAAAGGCGCGAAUGGCUGAGUUAGACGAAAAGACCCUAUGCAUCUUUACUGAGAGAGAAGAAAGUUCUUUAGCUUGGUUUAGCUGGGGCAGCUGAGGAAAAGGCAAAAUUUCCUUAAUAUAAAUCAUACUGGUGGGUUUAGAUCCAGGCUCUUUAGCGGGCUUGACAAGUAGAAAAGUUACGCUAGGGAUAACAGCGUUAUCCUUCUGUGGAGGUCUUAUCUGCAGGAGGGAUUGCGACCUCGAUGUUGAAUUAGGGAUAUACCAGAAAGGCGCAGAAGCUUUUAUUGUGGGUCUG